RNAcentral lists this ribosomal RNA (497 nucleotides) under uncultured bacterium. RNAcentral's name for it is "partial 16S ribosomal RNA". It matches the Rfam family "Bacterial small subunit ribosomal RNA", at positions 28 to 507 of the family's 1533-position model. The record is from RNAcentral.
GAUGAACGCUGGCGGCGUGCCUAAUACAUGCAAGUCGAGCGAACAGACGAGGAGCUUGCUCCUCUGACGUUAGCGGCGGACGGGUGAGUAACACGUGGAUAACCUACCUAUAAGACUGGGAUAACUUCGGGAAACCGGAGCUAAUACCGGAUAAUAUAUUGAACCGCAUGGUGCAAUAGUGAAAGACGGUUUUGCUGUCACUUAUAGAUGGAUCCGCGCCGCAUUAGCUAGUUGGUAAGGUAACGGGUUACCACGGCGACGAUGCGUAGCCGACCUGAGAGGGUGAUCGGCCACACUGGAGCUGAGACACGGUCCAGACUCCUACGGGAGGCAGCAGUAGGGAAUCUUCCGCAGUGGGCGAAAGCCUGACGGAGCAACGCCGCGUGAGUGAUGAAGGUCUUCGGAUCGUAAAACUCUGUUAUUAGGGAAGAACAAAUGUGUAAGUAGCUAUGCACUGCUUGACGGUACCUGAUCAGAAAGCCACGGCUAACUACGUG